Molecule: transfer RNA, 74 nt
Filed under: Bacteroidota bacterium
Lineage: Bacteria; Pseudomonadati; Bacteroidota
Also listed under: 1 other name
Description: Bacteroidetes bacterium (hot springs metagenome) tRNA-Arg
Rfam family: tRNA
About the family: Transfer RNA (tRNA) molecules are approximately 80 nucleotides in length.
Source: RNAcentral
GGAUGCGUAGCUCAACUGGAUAGAGCACCUGACUACGGAUCAGGAGGUUUGGGGUUCGAAUCCCUACGUGUCCG